CCUACGGGAGGCAGCAGUGAGGAAUAUUGGUCAAUGGCCGGAAGGCUGAACCAGCCAUGCCGCGUGAAGGUCAGUGCCCUAUGGGCGUUAAACUUCUUUUGUGCGGGAGCAAUAAUGAUCACGUUUGGCCAGACUAGAGUACCGUACUAAUAAGCAUCGGCUAACUCCGUGCCAGCAGCCGCGGUAAUACGGGGGAUGCAAGCGUUAUCCGGAUUUAUUGGGCGUAAAGCGCUCGUAGGCGGUAUGUCAAGUCAAGGGUGAAAUCCCCGCGCUCAACGUGGGAACUGCCUUUGAAACUGGCAAACUGGAGUGUGGGAGAGGAUAGUGGAAUUCCAGGUGUAGGAGUGAAAUCCGUAGAUAUCUGGAGGAACAUCAGUGGCGAAGGCGACUAGCUGGAACAUAACUGACGCUGAGGAGCGAAAGCGUGGGUAGCAAACAGGAUUAGAUACCCGUGUAGUC
RNAcentral lists this ribosomal RNA (459 nucleotides) under uncultured bacterium. RNAcentral's name for it is "partial 16S ribosomal RNA". It matches the Rfam family "Bacterial small subunit ribosomal RNA", at positions 338 to 795 of the family's 1533-position model. The record is from RNAcentral.